This 447-nucleotide ribosomal RNA is filed under the name uncultured bacterium. RNAcentral's name for it is "bacterial SSU rRNA". It matches the Rfam family "Bacterial small subunit ribosomal RNA", at positions 330 to 793 of the family's 1533-position model. The record is from RNAcentral.
GCCAGACUCCUACGGGAGGCAGCAGUGGGGGAUAUUGCACAAUGGGGGAAACCCUGAUGCAGCGACACCGCGUGGGUGAGGAAGCGAUUCGGCGUGUAAAGCCCUAUCAGUGGGGAAGAAAAAGGACGGUACCCAAAGAGGAAGCACCGGCUAAAUACGUGCCAGCAGCCGCGGCAAUACGUAUGGUGCAAGCGUUAUCCGGAAUGACUGGGUGUAAAGGGAGCGUAGACGGUUGUACAAGUCUGAUGUGAAAGCCCGGGGCUCAACCCCGGGACUGCAUUUGAAACUGUCAGGCUGGAGUGCGGGAGAGGUAAGUGGAAUUCCUAGUGUAGCGGUGAAAUGCGUAGAUAUUAGGAGGAACACCAGUGGCGAAGGCGGCUUACUGGACUGUAACUGACGUUGAGGCUCGAAAGCGUGGGGAGCAAACAGGAUUAGAUACCCGAGUAU